AGCUGACCAAUACUAAUUGCUCGUGAGGCUUGACUAUACAACACCCAAGCAGUUG
RNAcentral lists this ribosomal RNA (55 nucleotides) under Acinetobacter baumannii. RNAcentral's name for it is "partial 23S ribosomal RNA". The record is from RNAcentral. Lineage: Bacteria; Pseudomonadati; Pseudomonadota; Gammaproteobacteria; Moraxellales; Moraxellaceae.